Long non-coding RNA from Populus euphratica (Euphrates poplar), 435 nucleotides. RefSeq lists it as uncharacterized. The transcript is spliced from 2 exons. The record is from RefSeq and is a predicted model, not a curated record. Lineage: Eukaryota; Viridiplantae; Streptophyta; Magnoliopsida; Malpighiales; Salicaceae.
GGCUACAUGGUCGAGAUCUGCAACUGUCAAAAUCUCCCAGUUCUUCCACUUCCUUCAUGCCCUCUGAUCAAGUCACCUAAACCAAGUGCGAGCCUCGCAUCGUCACCGUCUCUGUAUGGGAAGCAAAGUUGGGAGCUGCGAUGCUUUGCAGAAGUUGCCUCUGUGAUGAUGGACAACUUGGUGGUGGACAUGAUGGACAUUUCAAUAUGAAGAAUCAAUCCAUGGGAGCGCCUAGUUUUGUGCAGCUUGCAGGAUUGUUUUAUAUUGAGUUUUGUAAAGAGAUGUUGAGAGCAGCUCUGUAAUGUAUGAAAAACCAGUAGGAUCGAGGGAGAUUUUCAAUUUCUACUAUAUAAUUAAUUAUUAUACACUGCUCGGUUUGAUCUGCUGUCCAUGUUCAAGGAAUUAAAAUUAAAAAUCCACUAUCCAUGUGCUUUC